UUCUGAGGGUGGUUGAGGCCUGUGGAAAAUGCCCCUGAAGGACUUGUGUAGCAUUAGUGGAUGUUGUAAAGGUGGUAUGUGAACAACAGGAGCUGGAAUUCCUGGUCUGAUUGCUGCUGCUUCCGCUGGAAGCAAGAAUAGAAAGCAUACCCGGUGGGGAACUAGAAGGGCAAGCCAGAAGAGUUGUUGAUUAUUCUCCUAAAACAGAAAUAACUGGAUUGGAGGAGGAGACAGCAGGAGAUGAGGGCGCGCCAUCCAGAAUGGCACGGACCUGUGAGCGUGAGCCAAUAGGAAGGUCAGGGGUGGAGAGACAUCCCUGCCGAGGGAAGGCUAAGGAAAGUGGUAGAAAUAUGAGCGCACACAGAGGCACCCUGCGACCUGCCAGGCCUCGAAGAGCAAAGACCAGAGGCCUCGAUCGUCGUGUGCCAGAGGGGUGUGCUCAUCUCUGAUCCACCUCCUCCAUCUGGCAGGUAAGGAAUUAGGGGAAGGUAAGGAAUUCCCCCCAAUUCCAGAAUCAGGGGACGUUGGACUCCCAGGCUCAGAGUUCUUUCUCAAACUGCCACUGCCCGAUUUAUUAUGGGUAAUAAACUCAUGGUCUCAUAAAAAUGGAUGGAGUUUCAGGGAUUUCAAACAGAAAAACAAAAGCAAAAAAAUCCCCAGCAGUUUAUGUGGACGGUUUAUGACAGAGUGCAUUCUAAAGUCAUUGGGAAAAGAGAAAUAUAAAUAUUUCUAAACAUGAGUAAAUGCAGACAUGCAUUCGCAUCUCCUACAGACCACUUAGCUUCUUAGUAAAAAAUAUUUACAUUAGGGAUAGGAAUGAUGUCACAAUUUUCUUUGAAUGAGCUUUAUGAAACCAAAGGGUCUGAUACACAUGGUUUUCCCAGAACAAAAGGAUAGUGUAUGCAAGGUGAAUUUGAAUUUCAAUCUUUUCAGGAAAAAGUAGCUUACAAUUUAAAAAUCACUCUUUUCCUCCCCUUUUACUCACUAAAUUAAAAAAUAAUAAUAAUUAGGAAGCAAAUACUAGCUACUGGAUGCCAUUAGAAAUUCAAAUAACUUUUUUUUUUUUUUUUUAAGUGAGCUCCACGCUGGCACGGGACUCAAAGUCAAGAUGCUGAGAUCAAGAGUUGGACACUCAACCUACUGGGCCACCCCGCUCUCCCUAGAGAUCCAAAUAACUUUUCAAAGUAAGAAAUAAAACUGACUAAAAUGAAAAUAACUUACAUGAGAAAGCCCUAAAAAGUUUAAAGCAGAAGAAAACUAUAGUCCAAUCAUACCCAUAAAUAUUACUACAGAAAUGUUGAAGGAGGGGCACCUAGGUGGCUCAGUGGUUGAGCGUCUGCUUUCAACUCAGGUCAUGAUCCCAGGGUCCUGGGAUCAAGUCACACAUCAGGCUCCCCAUAGAGAGUCUGCUUCUCCCUCUGCCUAUGUCUCUGCCUCUCUCUCUUUGUGUCUCUCAUGAAUAAACAAAUAAAAU
This 1474-nucleotide long non-coding RNA is filed under the name Canis lupus familiaris (dog). RNAcentral describes it as "lncRNA (ENSCAFG00030002001.1)". The record is from RNAcentral. Lineage: Eukaryota; Metazoa; Chordata; Mammalia; Carnivora; Canidae.